CAGUCGCCGCGGUAAUACGAAGGGGGCUAGCGUUGCUCGGAAUGACUGGGCGUAAAGGGCGCGUAGGCGGAUUGUUUAGUUAGGCGUGAAAUUCCUGGGCUUAACCUGGGGACUGCGCUUAAUACAGGCAGUCUAGAGUGAGGAAGAGGGUUGUGGAAUUCCCAGUGUAGAGGUGAAAUUCGUAGAUAUUGGGAAGAACACCGGUGGCGAAGGCGGCAACCUGGUCCUUGACUGACGCUGAGGCGCGAAAGCGUGGGGAGCAAACAGGAUUAGAUACCCGAGUAGUCCCUGUCUCUUAUAC
Molecule: ribosomal RNA, 301 nt
Filed under: uncultured bacterium
Lineage: Bacteria
Description: partial 16S ribosomal RNA
Rfam family: Bacterial small subunit ribosomal RNA
Source: RNAcentral